GACGAACGCUGGCGGCGUGCUUAACACAUGCAAGUCGAACGGUGAAGCGCCUUCCUUUUUGGUGGGUGUGGAUGAGUGGCGAACGGGUGAGUAACACGUGAGUAACCUGCCCCCUUCUUCUGGAUAACCGCAUGAAAGUGUGGCUAAUACGGGAUAUUCUGGGUCUGUCGCAUGAUGGGUCUGGGAAAGAUAUUGUUUCGGUGGGGGAUGGGCUCGCGGCCUAUCAGCUUGUUGGUGGGGUGAUGGCCUACCAAGGCGGUGACGGGUAGCCGGCCUGAGAGGGUGGACGGUCACACUGGGACUGAGACGCGGCCCAGACUCCUACGGGAGGCAGCAGUGGGGAAUAUUGCACAAUGGGCGGAAGCCUGAUGCAGCGACGCCGCGUGAGGGAUGGAGGCCUUCGGGUUGUGAACCUCUUUCGCCAGUGAAGCAGGCCUGCCUCGUUUGUGGGUGGGUUGACGGUAGCUGGAGAAGAAGCGCCGGCUAACUACGUG
Molecule: ribosomal RNA, 494 nt
Filed under: uncultured bacterium
Lineage: Bacteria
Description: partial 16S ribosomal RNA
Rfam family: Bacterial small subunit ribosomal RNA
Source: RNAcentral